This 433-nucleotide ribosomal RNA is filed under the name uncultured bacterium. Its description in RNAcentral is "partial 16S ribosomal RNA". It matches the Rfam family "Bacterial small subunit ribosomal RNA", at positions 29 to 507 of the family's 1533-position model. The record is from RNAcentral.
AACGAACGCUGGCGGCAUGCCUAACACAUGCAAGUCGAACGAGACCUUCGGGUCUAGUGGCGCACGGGUGCGUAACGCGUGGGAACCUGCCCUUAGGUUCGGAAUAACUCUCCGAAAGGGGUGCUAAUACCGGAUAAUGUCUUCGGACCAAAGAUUUAUCGCCUUUGGAUGGGCCCGCGUUGGAUUAGCUAGUUGGUAGGGUAAUAGCCUACCAAGGCGACGAUCCAUAGCUGGUCUGAGAGGAUGAUCAGCCACACUGGGACUGAGACACGGCCCAGACUCCUACGGGAGGCAGCAGUGGGGAAUAUUGGAACAUGGGCGAAAGCCUGAUCCAGCAAUGCCGCGUGAGUGAUGAAGGCCGUAGGGUUGUAAAGCUCUUUUACCCGGGAUGAUAAUGACAGUACCGGGAGAAUAAGCUCCGGCUAACUCCGUG